This 403-nucleotide ribosomal RNA is filed under the name bacterium. RNAcentral's name for it is "partial 16S ribosomal RNA". It matches the Rfam family "Bacterial small subunit ribosomal RNA", at positions 355 to 776 of the family's 1533-position model. The record is from RNAcentral.
UGGGGAAUAUUGCACAAUGGGGGAAACCCUGAUGCAGCGACGCCGCGUGAACGAAGAAGGUAUUCGUAUCGUAAAGUUCUGUCCUAUGGGAAGAUAAUGACAGUACCAUAGAAGAAAGCUCCGGCUAAAUACGUGCCAGUAGCCGCGGUAAUACGUAUGGAGCGAGCGUUGUCCGGAAUUAUUGGGCGUAAAGGGUACGCAGGCGGUUUAAUAAGUCGAAUGUUAAAGAUCGGGGCUCAACCCCGCAAAGCAUUGGAAACUGAUAAACUUGAGUAGUGGAGAGGAAAGUGGAAUUCCUAGUGUAGUGGUGAAAUACGUAGAUAUUAGGAGGAAUACCAGUAGCGAAGGCGACUUUCUGGACACAAACUGACGCUGAGGUACUAAAGCGUGGGGAGCAAACAGG